GAUGAACGCUGGCGGCGUGCCUAACACAUGCAAGUCGAACGGAGUCCAGCCUUUAAGACCUUCGGGUCAAAGAGGGGAAGACUGAGUGGCGGACGGGUGAGUGACACGUGGGCAACCUGGCUCAUAGAGGGGGAUAACAGAGAGAAAUUUCUGCUAAUACCGCAUAAGCACACACUGCCGCAUGGCAGAGGGUGAAAAGAGAAUCGCUAUGAGAUGGACCCGCGUCUGAUUAGCCAGUUGGCAGGGUAAGAGCCUACCAAAGCGACGAUCAGUAGCCGAUCUGAGAGGAUGAACGGCCACAUUGGGACUGAGACACGGCCCAAACUCCUACGGGAGGCAGCAGUGGGGGAUAUUGCACAAUGGGGGGAACCCUGAUGCAGCGACGCCGCGUGAGUGAAGAAGUAUUUCGGUAUGUAAAGCUCUAUCAGCAGGGAAGAUAAUGACAGUACCUGAAUAAGAAGCCCCGGCUAACUACGUG
This 478-nucleotide ribosomal RNA is filed under the name uncultured bacterium. RNAcentral describes it as "partial 16S ribosomal RNA". It matches the Rfam family "Bacterial small subunit ribosomal RNA", at positions 28 to 507 of the family's 1533-position model. The record is from RNAcentral.